Molecule: ribosomal RNA, 485 nt
Filed under: uncultured bacterium
Lineage: Bacteria
Description: bacterial SSU rRNA
Rfam family: Bacterial small subunit ribosomal RNA
Source: RNAcentral
GGGCUCACACAAGCGGUGGAGCAUGUGGCUUAAUUCGAGGCUACGCGAAGAACCUUAUCCUAGGCUUGACAUGUGCGAAAGCGACAGGGGGUAGUCUGGCGGAAACGUCAGGCGAUGGUAUCCAAUCCAGUCCUGUUACAGGUGCUGCAUGGCUGUCGUCAGCUCGUGUCGUGAGAUGUCGGGUUAAGUCCCAUAACGAGCGAAACCCUUGCCUCCAGUUGCCAUUAUUCAGUUAGGGACUCUGGAGGGACUGCCGGUGUUAAACCGGAGGAAGGUGGGGAUGACGUCAAGUCCUCAUGGCCUUUAUGCCUAGGGCUGCACACGUGCUACAAUGCAACGAACAAAGGGAUGCCAACCCGCGAGGGGGAGCCAAUCCCAAAAAACGUUGCCCAGUUCAGAUCGAAGGCUGCAACUCGCCUUCGUGAAGUUGGAAUCGCUAGUAAUCGCGGGUCAGCAACACCGCGGUGAAUGUGUUCCUGAGCCUU